GAUAGCUCAGUUGGUAGAGCAAUCGGCUGUUAACCGAUCGGGAUUCCCGGACGGGUCACCA
RNAcentral lists this transfer RNA (61 nucleotides) under Veillonella sp. Its description in RNAcentral is "tRNA-Asn". Lineage: Bacteria; Bacillati; Bacillota; Negativicutes; Veillonellales; Veillonellaceae. The record is from RNAcentral.